Molecule: ribosomal RNA, 465 nt
Filed under: Vreelandella stevensii
Lineage: Bacteria; Pseudomonadati; Pseudomonadota; Gammaproteobacteria; Oceanospirillales; Halomonadaceae
Description: partial 16S ribosomal RNA
Rfam family: Bacterial small subunit ribosomal RNA
Source: RNAcentral
CCUACGGGGGGCAGCAGUGGGGAAUAUUGGACAAUGGGCGAAAGCCUGAUCCAGCCAUGCCGCGUGUGUGAAGAAGGCCUUCGGGUUGUAAAGCACUUUCAGUGGGGAAGAAAGCCUUGGGGCUAAUACCCUCGAGGAAGGACAUCACCCACAGAAGAAGCACCGGCUAACUCCGUGCCAGCAGCCGCGGUAAUACGGAGGGUGCGAGCGUUAAUCGGAAUUACUGGGCGUAAAGCGCGCGUAGGCGGUCUGAUAAGCCGGUUGUGAAAGCCCCGGGCUCAACCUGGGAACGGCAUCCGGAACUGUCAGGCUAGAGUGCAGGAGAGGAAGGUAGAAUUCCCGGUGUAGCAGUGAAAUGCGUAGAGAUCGGGAGGAAUACCAGUGGCGAAGGCGGCCUUCUGGACUGACACUGACGCUGAGGUGCGAAAGCGUGGGUAGCGAACAGGAUUAGAUACCCCGGUAGUC